Molecule: long non-coding RNA, 2637 nt
Organism: Haemorhous mexicanus (house finch)
Lineage: Eukaryota; Metazoa; Chordata; Aves; Passeriformes; Fringillidae
Exons: 4
Source: RefSeq, a predicted model, not a curated record
GCGGCCCCGCCCCCCCCGCGGUGGGGAGCCGGUGCCUGCGCACUGUGGGCCCCGGCCCGCAGCCGGGGAUGGGCCAAUGUCCGCGCCUUCCUCUCCCGUUUCUUUCCUCUCCCCUCUCCUUCCUCUCCCCGCUCCGGCGCCCGGGCUGCUCUGGGGACGCUCCGAGUGCGGCUCCCGGGCCGCUCCUGUCCGCGGUGUGGGGGCUGCGCUUGCGUGGGGUGAAGGCGCCGGUGGAGCGCGUGAGCAAAUGCUCGGCGACACUUCGGGCACUUGGGGCGGAGUGGGAUUUCUGGAGGGGUGAUCAUCUCCCGAAGGCAGCUGUGAGCGCAGCCCCCACACUUUGUGCGUCGUGUGUGAGCUUGACUUGAUCUCGGUCUAAUCUGGUAAUGAGAAUCUGAAAAGGGGCCUAAGCUGUCCUUGGCACCCAGUGAAAAGUUUGCUACGGGCUGGUCCACGUUGGCCAUGUUUCCAAGCUCUCCGUUUGGAGGCUGUGCCAGAUGAGAUGGAAAAAGGCUGGGGAGCUGCUGGACAAUGGCUUUCACAGGGAACUCCAAGCAAGUGCAGAAAUGUAUUGCUGAGUUUAGAGAGAGAAAUGGAAGAAUAAGUAUUACUGCUGAUAACUUGCAUAUUACUUGUAGCCAUUGUAAGGAAGAACUGGUACUGGCUGCCCAGGGAAGUGCUUGAGUCCCCAUCCCUGAAGGUUACAGAGCUGCCAGUGGAAGACCCUCAGCACUACAAAAUGCUAAAACAUCCAAGGCCCCAUACAGUGCUUGGUUUUAGCUGAUGAAUUAGUGUCUGCAAGAAACAGAAUCACAGAAAAAGCUGAGUUGGAGGGAACCCUGAAGAAUCAAGUCAAACUCCUGGCCCUGCACAGGACCAUACCCAAGAGUCACACCAGGUGCCUAAGAGUAUUGUCCAAAUGCUGCAUGAACUCUGUCAGGCUGGUGCUGUGACCACUUCCCUGGGAGCCUGUUCCAGUGCCCAACUACACUCCAGGCAACUAGCAACAAGGCAAGAGGAGAAAGCCUCAAGCAGUGCCAGGGAAGAUUCAGAUUGGACAUCAGGAAGGAUUUUUUCACAGAAAAGGUUGUCAAGCAUUGGAACAGGCUGCACAAGAAUGUGUUGGAGUCACCAUCCCUCGAGGUGUUCAAGCAACAACUGGUCAUGGCACUGAGUGCUAUGGUCUAGUUGACAAAGUGGUGACUGGUCAAAGGUUGGAAUCACGGAAUCACAGAAUCAUAGAAUAAGCUGAAGGAAGGCAGCCACAAGGAUCAUCAAAUCUGGCUCCCUGCACAGCACCAUCUCCAAGAGUCACACCUUGUGCCCAGGAGAAUUGUCCAAACUUUCCUUGAACUUUGUCGGGCUUGGUGCUGUGACCAUUUCCCUGGGGAUCCUGUUCCAGUGCCCAACCACCCUCUGGGUGAAGAACCUUCCUCUAAUAUCCAACCUAAACCUCCCUUAACACAAUUUCAGGCCAUUCCCUUGGGUCCUGUCUUGGAUCACCACAGAGAAGAGAUCAGUGUCUGCCCCUCCUCUUCUCACAAGGAAGUUGUAACUGCAAUGAGGUCUCCCCUCUUCUCCAGACUGAACAGACCAAGUGACCUUAGAUGGUCCCCAUACAGCUUCUCCUCAAGGCCCUUCACCACCUUUGUUGCCCUCCUUUGGACAAUUUCUGAUAUUUUUCUGUCUUUUAUUGUGUCACUCAGAACUGCCCCCAGCACUCAAGGUGAGGCUGCCCCAGUGCAGAGCAGAGCAGGACAAUCCCCUCCCUUGCCUGGCUGGCGAUGCUGUGCCUGAUGCCCCCCAGGACAAGGUUGGCUCUCCUGGCUGCCAGGGCACUGCUGGCUCAUGUUCAACUUGCCAUUGAUCAGGACUCCCAGCUUCCUUCACAUGGCACUGCUAUUCAGUCCCAUUCCUCAGUCUGUACAUACACACUUGAGGGUCUUGUUCAGCCUAAAUGAUUCUAUGAAAUAACACUUUUUUUUUUUUUUUUCAACAAAUGUGCACUUGUCUUUAAUCUCUUCCUCAAUGUGCUUUAUUCAUGCUGGUCUGUGUUAUGGGGGGUGGCAGGGAGAGGGAUGUAGUAACUUGAGAACAAACCUUCAGGUCCUCAUUCUGUGCAUGUCACAGAUAUUCUGUUAAGAGAACCACACAGUGUGCUAACAUUUCUCCAGAGCCAUAUGUAGUCUAUCUUGACAGACAAUGAAGGAUGGGUGCUUCUCAGCAUUGAUAUUGGUAAAAAUUAUCUGCAAAGAGAAUGUGAGUUCCCACAAUACUUAUUUUCUGGAUCUUGCUCUUUUUCUGUGUUACUUUUUUAUAUUUGGUAUUCCUACAUAACUGAAAAAAAUAUUACAUACUCUUUUAUGUGGUUACUGUUUUUUUGCUGGUCUCAUAAAUAACUUGCAGUGUUUUCUGACUUGGCAUAGUAAAACUCCCAAAUUUCCUCAACAGUGUAAAUUUCUGGAGACCAAUAGGUGUAAAUUGCUCUGAAGAGAAUGCUGAUUUCUUUGCUCUUCUCUAGGCCAAAUCCUAUAAUGGAAGAGCUCAUCUGUCCAACUGCUUUCUUUUUUACAAGUGCAUAUCAUUAUAUCAGUCUGGAUUUUCCAAAGAAAAAAUACAAGUAUUUGAGACUGUCAU